This 457-nucleotide ribosomal RNA is filed under the name uncultured microorganism. RNAcentral's name for it is "bacterial SSU rRNA". It matches the Rfam family "Bacterial small subunit ribosomal RNA", at positions 9 to 511 of the family's 1533-position model. The record is from RNAcentral.
GAGUUUGAUCGUGGCUCAGAACGAACGCUGGCGGCAGGCCUAACACAUGCAAGUCGAGCGCUUCACUUCGGUGAGGAGCGGCGAACGGGUUAGUAACGCGUGGGAACGUACCCAAAGGUAGGGAAUAGCCACUGGAAACGGUGAGUAAUGCCCUAUGUGCCCUUCGGGGAAAGAUUUAUCGCCUUUGGAUCGGCCCGCGUUAGAUUAGGUAGUUGGUGGGGUAAUGGCCUACCAAGCCUACGAUCUAUAGCUGGUUUGAGAGGAUGAUCAGCAACACUGGGACUGAGACACGGCCCAAACUCCUACGGGAGGCAGCAGUGGGGAAUCUUAGACAAUGGGCGAAAGCCUGAUCUAGCCAUGCCGCGUGAGUGAUGAAGGCCUUAGGGUCGUAAAGCUCUUUCGCCAGGGAUGAUAAUGACAGUACCUGGUAAAGAAACCCCGGCUAACUCCGUGCCAG